UUGAACGCUGGCGGCAGGCCUAACACAUGCAAGUCGAGCGGAUGAAGGGAGCUUGCUCCUGGAUUCAGCGGCGGACGGGUGAGUAAUGCCUAGGAAUCUGCCUGGUAGUAGGGGAUAACGUCCGGAAACGGGCGCUAAUACCGCAUACGCCCUGAGGGAGAAAGUGGGGGAUCUUCGGACCUCACGCUAUCAGAUGAGCCUAGGUCGGAUUAGCUAGUUGGUGGGGUAAAGGCCUACCAAGGCGACGAUCCGUAACUG
Molecule: ribosomal RNA, 258 nt
Filed under: uncultured bacterium
Lineage: Bacteria
Description: partial 16S ribosomal RNA
Rfam family: Bacterial small subunit ribosomal RNA
Source: RNAcentral